CCACCUCAGAGGAAAAGUAGAGUCACCUAAUCAGACCACAUUGACCAAGAGGGGGGCAGUGGUCCCCCACGGAAAAGCCAAGGCAUUGCCGUAGAAAGAGGACAGGAUGCAGGACAAGGAAAACAAGGAAUAUUUAUUCCAGUUACUUUCCAAGUGCAUCAUGCUGAUCCACACUUGGCCCCAAGAGAAUCACCCGAAGGGAUACCAUUUGAGUUCUGGGAGAGCUGCCUGCCGACUUCACAAAGACGUAUUCCUCUCAUUAAUGACUGUUAGUGUAGCAUCAUGCAAUGCUCCUGAGAAACUGCAGAAAUAGUAAUGACCAUGUGAUGGCCAAGGCUGAUUGGAAGAUGCUCCUGGGGAGAGAUGAAGUUUGGAUUUACAGCAUCAGCAUGAAGGAGUUGCAAGCAUUGGUGUUGUAAACCGCACUGGCACCUGACACUAAAUGUGGGAAAGGGAUGGGGUUCCAGAAAUAAAGCAAAAAUACCAGGCAAUGGAUGCACAGUGACUGAGUUUUGGGAGAGGCAUAAAUGCCAAGGAGAAUGGGUUGUAGGUUCUAUGUUGGGGUGAGGCUAUGGUGGGGUGGAAGUAUGAGUGUUGAGUGAGUGAGUAUCAUUGUCUCAGAUCCUGGAGAAAGGUCAGCCUUGCAUGGCAUGGAAGGGCAGGUGUUCAUACAGUUGGGCAUUAUGCCUGGCACAUCACCUAUGUCAACCCAUUUAACCUUCACAACAACUGGGUAUAGUAGGUAUUAUUGUUCCCAUUACGCAUAUGAAGAAACUGAGGUUCAGAGAGGCCCUGUAAUUGCAUUGUGGUCUGAUUCAGAUCUGGGGUUUAUAGCUAGAAGUUCUAAAGGAAGCCUUAAAACACUGCCGCACCUUUUAGAUCUGGAUUCGUAGGAAGGGAAGGUUAUUCUAAAAUGCAGUGGCAGACAGAGGGCAACAGACUGUCAUCACCUCUGCAUCUGGAUGACUCUUUAUGGUCAUUAGCAUCUCCCAGGGCCCUCAGUGAGCAGCUUCUCAAGGCAGGUCUUCCCUGAUGGCAAGAGGUGGCAUGAAACCUCCUCUGCCACAUGCUGGCUGCUCCCGUACAGGUGGUCCGGCUGCUGCUGGCUAAGGACAGGCAGAGGAGGGAGGAUGGAGGAAAGGUGAGGGCUGGUAGGUGCUCAAGCCACCCAGGCCAAACAGUGGCAGCAGGAGCAGCAGAGAGGCCUGCAUUUUGGUGGUGCCCCAGGCUGCACUGCUAUUUUCACUUCAGGGGCUGUGAGCAGAGAAGAUCCUUCCACCUCACUCUUCUCAUUUUACAUGUGCCCUGAAGAAACAUCCUACCCAGAGGCUAGAACAUCUCCAACUAUCUAGAAGAUGGCCAUAAUUAUUUGGUUAAUAGCCACCUCCACCACUGAACUUCUGCAACUUGCCUCUGAUGAAGCUGUUCCAAUAAUUGUUCAUUUCUUCACCCAUUCUUUUGCUCCACCAGUAUUUCCUAAGCAGCUGCUAUGCCAUGUGCCAGACGCUGUGCUGCUCCUGUAGUAUGGUAGGCAGACACAGUCCCUGCCCUCAAGAAGCUUACAGUCUGGUGGAAAGACAGACAAUUCUCUUCUGCAGCUCCCUCUCUGCCUCUGCCCCAGCACCCAUGCUGGUCUCUCCCAGAGCUUACAUCCCCCGGGUCCUCCCUGCAGGCCAGACACCACGAUGCCAAAUGCGGGCUGCUCAUCAAAGACUCCAUUGAGAGCUGGUCGCUGUGUGGGGAAAGCAGCAGUGUUGGCUCCGAACCUGACCUGAGGAGGCAUGGCUACCGUCAGUUCUGUUGUGACAGCCCUUGACAGCAGGUGUCUGUCAUCUCCCCCAUUCUAUCCCCUCCAACCACCCCAACGUUUUUUGCCAGCCUCAAAGUGUCACUUCCAUUUGGAAGGCAUAGAGGAAGCUACGUGGUGAGAGGAACCUGUCAUCACUCUACUUCUUGACCAGGGUGGAGGCCAGAGGACAAGUGGCAUCUGUGCUGGGACAUCCUAGGAGCCUGAAGCUGCUGCUGAAAGCAGCUGGGACCCCAGGUGCCUCUGCUGCAGUCCCUCUUCUCCCUGCCUGUGCCUUUAAAGAGGGUAGUUUUCUUCCAUGGACCCAUCACUGGCAUUCAUCUUCUCAGUGUGUCACUUGGUGGAAACGACAAUAUUUCCCUAGGUAGGGGUAGAGUGAGGAGUGGAAGGGAAUGUCCUGGCUAAGGGUUUGAGCUGCUGGAGACUGACCUUAAGGGAUGAGGAAGGGAGUGAACAAAAGGUAGUGAGUUGAGGCUUUGGGGUCAGACCAGGGCUGAAAUUCUAACUAUGACCCAGCAAUUCACUGCUGGGUGUAUACCGAAGAGAAAUGAAAACUUCUGUCCACACAAAGACAUGUAUGCAAAUGUUCAUGGCAGCGUUAUUCAUAAUAGCCAAAAAGUGGAAAUAACCCAAAUGUCCAUCAACUAAUGAAUGCAUAAAUACAAUGUCGCAUGUCCAUACAAUGGACUACUAUGUACCCAUAAACAGGAAUGAAGUGCGGAUACCUGCUACAGCAUGGAUGAACUUCAAAACUUUAUGAACUAAGUGAAAGGAGUCAGAUGCAAACCACGCAGAUACAUGUUGUAUGCUUCCAUUUAUAUGAAAUAUCCAAAAAGGCAAAUCUAUAGAUACAUGUAUUAGUCCAUUCUUAAAUUGCUAUAAAGAAAUAUCCGAGACUGUGUAAUUUAUAAAGAAAAGAGGUUUAACUGGCUCACAGCUCUGCAGGCUGUAUAGGAAGUGUAGUGACUUCUGGGGAGGCCUCAGGAAAUUUUCAGUCAUGGUGGAAGGUGAAGGGGAAGCAGGAGGAAGAGACAGAGAAGGGGCAGGUGCCACACACUUUUAAAUGACCAGAUCUCAUGACAACUCACUCACUAUCAAGAGAACAGCACCCAAGGGAAAUUCACCCCCGUGAUCCAAUCACCUCCCACCAGACCCCACUUCCAAUGUUGGGGAUUACAAUUCGACAUGAGAUUUGGACAGGACACAGAUCCAAACCAUAUCAAUACAGAAAGUAGAUUAGUGGCUGCCUGCGGCUAGAGAAGGAGGACAAGGAGAGACUACAAAUAGACAAAAGAUCUUUUUAAGAUGAUGGGAAUGUUCUAGAACUAGAUGGUGGCAAGGGUUGCACAGCUUUGUAAACUCACUAAAAAUCAUUGGAAUACACUUACAAUGGCUACAUUUUAUGAUGUGUAAAUUAUACCUCAAUAAAGCUAUUUAAAAAAUCUCCAUUAUACCACUUCCUAGCUUUGGGAAAUUACUUAACUAUUGAGUCUGUUUCUUCAUCUAUAAAAUGGGGAGGAUGAUACCUACUUCACAGGCUCACUGUGAGAAUUAGGGGCCUGAUUCACAGUGAGCACUCAAGAAAUGUAAAUGGUAGCAGUUGGCAGUCAUUACUACUGCUCCUGUCUUUUUGUUUGUUUUUGUUUUUGUGGUAGUAGAAGUGUCUUGAUUUAGAAAGAGAGGAGAGGGCUGGGUACGGUGGCUCACGCCUGUAAUCCCAGCACUUUGGGGGGCCGAGGCGGGUGGAUCACCUGAGAUCAGGAGUUUGAAACCGGCCUGGCUAACAUGGUGAAACCUUGUCUCUACUAAAAAUACAAAAAUUAGCUGGGUGUGGUGGUGAGUGCCUGUAAUCCCAGUUACUCGAGAGGCUGAGGCAG
Molecule: long non-coding RNA, 3684 nt
Filed under: Homo sapiens (human)
Lineage: Eukaryota; Metazoa; Chordata; Mammalia; Primates; Hominidae
Description: HSALNT0378041
Source: RNAcentral